This 313-nucleotide unclassified non-coding RNA is filed under the name fungal sp. RNAcentral describes it as "partial internal transcribed spacer region". The stretch from base 1 to 46 matches the Rfam family "Eukaryotic small subunit ribosomal RNA", at positions 1786 to 1831 of the family's 1831-position model. The record is from RNAcentral. RNAcentral also lists the same sequence under 1 other name. Lineage: Eukaryota; Fungi.
AAGUCGUAACAAGGUAACCGUAGGUGAACCUGCGGUUGGAUCAUUAAUAAUUUGAACUUGAACAUUUGUAGUUAUUUGAGUUUGAAAAUUUUUAAAAUUUUCAUUCUUGUAACUACAAUUGUCAUUUACACUUUGUGCACCUAUUAUUGUACCUUUGGGUUUCUGUUUGAGAAGUGCUACUAUAAAGAAUAUUUUUUUAUAGGAAAGCUUCUUUAAGAUUCCCAGCAUUUUUAAACAACCCUUUUAAAUUUUGACUAAUGUUUUUUAUAAUAAAAUAUAUAAACAACUUUAAACAACGGAUCUCUUGGCUUUU